UGAAGGAUUUAUUCAAUACAAAAACCUUCCUUUUAAACUUCGUUGUAGCAAAAAAAAUGGUUCUACCUUCAAAUGACUCCAAUUAUAAGGAUACAUGUUGUACUAUAUUUAGAGCCAUCUCGUUAUGGAACACUCAAGAUAGCAAGACCAUAUCCUCUAAAAGUUCUGAGGUGUUCAAAAAAUAUAUCAAAAAUUGGGAAAUCGUAGAAGACUGAGAUUAGUCUUAUCAUCGAGAACCUUGGGGUAUUGCGUACUGAUAUAAACAUUAUGAUUCUCAUAAAACCAAUAUUUUAAAUAUUAUUGAUGUAGACUUUUUUUUUCUUUUUAUUAUACUUUGUAUGGUGUUAGUGUUGUGGUUUAUAAUAAAAAUA
Hydra vulgaris (swiftwater hydra) is the source of this 371-nucleotide long non-coding RNA. RefSeq lists it as uncharacterized. The record is from RefSeq and is a predicted model, not a curated record. NCBI's taxonomy places the organism in Eukaryota, Metazoa, Cnidaria, Hydrozoa, Anthoathecata, Hydridae.